UCCCUCAACGCCUGUCUUCCCUCGCGCGUAGAGAGUGACUCGAAGGACCCCCUCUCCUCUUCGCUGCAGCCCCUCCCCAUGCACGCUGGGAGACUCUUGGAGGGGAUAAGGUGGGGCCCGGAGAGGAAGAGAAGACAAUCGGAUUGGAUAGGCAGCUGCCAUGGCAACUGGAGGCUGUGGUUAUAUUGUCAUAGUAACCGAUGUGUGCGGACAGGGUCACCCUCCCCUUGGCCAAUGGAUUCCCAGGAAACCACCCAGGGUUCCCCGUUGGCUUCCCUUCCAUCUAAAGGCCUCCCCCAAGUUAGGAAUCGAUAUAGUUCUCCCCGGUGGUGAAGUCCACUUCCUCCUCCCUUCCCACUUCCCACAGCAACUGGGGGGACACCCCGAGGCAUUCACCAUGGGCUUUUCCACCCGCCUGCGAGCGGGAACCACCUCCGUAGUUUCCUCUCAGAGCCGGGCGUGGAGAGGGCUGGGCCUGCGAAGAGGAUGCAUGGCCUGGAGGCUGGCGGGCGGCGGGCUGGAGUCGGGAGGGCGAGGCGACAGCGCCAAGCGGCGAGGAAGGGCAAGGGGUUUCCCCACAACUGCCUUGGGCUCUGGGAGGCGGGAUCCCGCCUGGACGGGGUCCCUGAGGGAGGAGAGCGGCACACGACAGCCGCGAUGCCUUCCCUGCCGACGGGGAUAGCCGACUUCUGGCGAGUCGACCCCUCCCCCAAAUCCACCCCACCCGCGUACUCCCUCCUGACCUAGCUGUCGCGAGCCUGCCGCGAGGAGGCCAGGGUGAGGGUGGGAACACAUCCUAGAAGGCUAACACGUGGUUUUCUAUCAUUUAAGCCGGGGACAAGCCGGAAGGCUGACUAGCGCCAUCACUCUGAUAGGCACCCCGCAGUGGGGAUCCUGCUUGAUUAUUAAAGGCAGACCUCCAAGUUCCUCCCUGCUCUGCAACCUUUCUCUUCUCACGGGUCUGCAGUGUUUUAAAAGUCGUCAUUCUGUGUCGUUGAGUUAGAGAGGAAAACAUCGGAUAAAAGAGGAUCAAGAAGAACGAACCCUAGAUACAUCUGUCUGGUGAAAGGAGUCUAGGAAAAGAAGUUUCAUUCUUAGAACAAAUCUUUUUGGAUAUUUAUUAUGUGUGUUUUGUGUCAGGUUUCGGGCCAAAAAGCUGAAAUAAAGAACGAAGUCAAUAAUAAUAUGAAGUGUAUGAGAAAUAGCUGGAAAAUUCAUCAUCCAUGACUUGAAGAAAUUGACGUUUUACAAGUUAUAUUUUCGGUGAAGAGGCACUUUCAAGAUCCUUCUCUGAGACCUGCACCAAUAAGACUAUACCAAUGUUCAGUUGAAACAUCAGACACUGUUCUGGUUAUGAUGGACACCACAGUGAAAGAGACCUGGUCCCUGCCUUGAGGAAACCCAACUGCUGGUAGAGAGCUCAGAGUAAUGAUUAGGAUGCAAUAUGAGGGAUGCAGUAAUUGGGGCAAUUCCUAUGGCUCUAAUGCAGUAUCAGGCACUAAUACUUAUGUAUGAGCAAAAAUUGAUGAGGAUGAUCAUGUUUUAAUACACCAGUACAGACCAAAAUGCCUCUUUGGUAAUUUUCAGAUCUACUUCUGGGAACCGUCACAGCCUGAGAAAGAUGGCAUGCCCUGAAUGGAAUUCACAGAGAAUUAUUUUAAGUCAUGCUACUGGCCCCGCCCAGUUAUGUAACAACUUGCAUUUCCUCAAUUCUCUGGAAUGUGGCCAGUCAGGAACUUCCACAUUUGGUUUUUUUUUUUUCCCCCAUUUGUGGGUAAGAAAGUAAAAGAGGCAGGAAAACUGAAUUGAGAAAGAAGAAAGAAUAGGGGAAGAGAGAAAGAAAAAAGAAAACCAUGAAGCCUGGAAGAGGAGAAAGAAGAGAUAGAUGAGCAAAGAAGCACAUUGCCUGGUGGUAGUAAUAGUUGUCAGACACCCAUCUAUUAUAAUCUGUUUUCCAUGGGAGAUUUUAAGAAGAGGCUAGAUCCCCAGUCUGUCUUAAAAUCAAGAAAAGGGACUCUGUUGCCUCUAAAGUAUACUUCCAGACUCAGCAAUCUCUAAAUUCUGAGUGGGGCAUCCCUAGUUUUGCUGCCUAAAAUCUAUGACAGUUGGAAAUGAUUCCAUUUAAGAUCCAGUUCAAGAAGCUAUACACCCUGAGGAACUUUAUAUUGCCAUUUAGAGGACCGAUAUUCUCCAGAUUGCUUGAGCCCAGGAGUUUGAGACCAGCCUGGGCAACAUGGCAAAACUCCAUCUCUACCAAAAAAAAAAAAAAAACAAAAUUAGCUGGGCAUGGUGGUACACAUCUGUAGAACCAGCUACUCUGGAGGCUGAGCUGAGAGAACCCCUUGAGCCUAGGAGAUGGAGGUUGCUGUGAGCCAAGAUCGUGCCACUGCACUCAAGCCUGGGUGACAGAGCCAGACCCUAUCUCAUAAAUAAAUAAAUGUCAAUAUUCUCCAAAA
RNAcentral lists this long non-coding RNA (2456 nucleotides) under Homo sapiens (human). RNAcentral's name for it is "non-protein coding SMG7-AS1:16". The record is from RNAcentral. Lineage: Eukaryota; Metazoa; Chordata; Mammalia; Primates; Hominidae.